RNA transcript from Jatropha curcas, 9286 nucleotides. RefSeq lists it as uncharacterized. NCBI's taxonomy places the organism in Eukaryota, Viridiplantae, Streptophyta, Magnoliopsida, Malpighiales, Euphorbiaceae. The record is from RefSeq and is a predicted model, not a curated record.
AUUUUAAAAUCGCUGCCACGGGCCAGAUCUUCGCUUUCCUCACUCGAGUCGAUUUUCAUAAUCGGGAAAGGAAAGGAAAAGAGAGGAAAGGAAAGGAAUUGAAAUCCAUAAUUCCGGCACUAAAACAAAGAAUACCCAAUUUCUGAGCCUCACAGAUUCACAAUUCUAGAUUUCACCCUCCAUCGUUUGUGCUCACAAAUCAUAUCUAGCGCGCCUUGUCGAAGCGAAAAAACUCCAAAACAAAACCCUAGCCCUAGAUUUGCUAUACAAUCAAAAACAACAAACAAUGGCUAGCGAUGCUGAUGCCUCUCGUCGCAAGCACCGUCGAUCACCCUCAGAUGAGGAGGCGGAUAAGUCCUCGAAGCGACACAAACAUCGCCACCACCGUCGCCACCACCACCGCUCGCACCGAAGCAAAAAGCACGGUGAGGAAAGUAAACAAGGUGGUGAAGAAACUGCUCCACCUUCUCCUCCUCCGGUUCCUGUUACUGUUUUUGGUAAUUGUAAUGAUAGGAUUGAUGAUGAUGUGGAGGAAGGGGAGAUUUUGGAGGAGGAGGGUUCUGGUGGUGUAGGUGUAAAGGAUAUUGACUUACGCAGUGAAGGAGUCGGUUUUCAAAAUCUGGGAGUGAAUGCUGACAACAGUGACAGUGGUUUGACAAAUUCUAACAAAGCUAUCACGUUUGACACUAAGUUUAGCUUGCCAAAAGAUUCUAGGGCCAAGAUUCAAGAUGAAUUAGUUCCAAGAGAUGGCCUCAAAGUCGAUGCUAAUGGAGAUUUGGGUCAUGAAUAUUAUAGAGAUGGCAAGAAACGAUAUGACGAAUCUGGGUCCUCUUCUAAAGGAAGCCACAACCGAAAGAUUUAUGGUGAUGUUGAUGCAUCUACACCUGAAGGUGGUGAAAGCAAAUUAAGCGAUUGGGGGAGGUCUUCUUCUUCUGAGAGUGAGGGGCAUAAGCACAAGACGGUAGCAGCAGCAUCUCUUGAUAGGAACCAUGAUGAGGUUCUUGCAAGGAGUAGAUCUUUGUCUCGUGAUUUUGCUAGGGACAGAUCUCGGUCCCGCAGCAUUGUAGAAGAGGAGAUUCUUUUGAAGAGAAGGCGGCAUGAUGAAAGGGUUGAUAAUGAUUCUGAUGAUGAAAAAAUUGCUAGACGUCAUAGGUAUCUACGGUAUGGCAGUACAGAUUUAGACAGGGAGCAUGGUAACAGCUACACCAGAAACUUGGGACGGGAAGACAGUCAUAGCAGCUGGGAUGUGCAAGGCAGAGAGAUGAACAGGGAGAAGGAGAAAGAACGGAGAAGGGAGCAAGAACGAGAGAGGAGCAGGGACAGAGAUCAAAGAAGAGAGGAACGAGAGAGGAGCAGUGACAGGGGGCAGAGGAGAGAGAAGGAACGAGAGAGGAGCAGGGACAGGGAUCUUAGAAGAGAAAAGGAACGGGAGCAGAGCAGGGAUAGGGACUUAAGAAGAGUGAAGGACAGAGAGAGGAGCCGAGAUAGGGAUCUGAGAAGAGAGAAGGAGCAAGAGAGGAGCAAGUUCACAGAGAUUGACAGGGACUGGAGAAGAGAGAAGCAACUACAUAGGAGCUUGGAUAAUGAGGCGGAUAGAGAUUGGGAUAGGAAAAGGGAGAAGGAACUAGACAGGAGCAGGGAUAGGGAAGAGGAGCUGGACCAAAAAAGGCAGAAAGAAAGAGAGAAAAGCAAAGAUAAAGACAUGUCCAGGGCUAGUGUUAGGCAUAGAGAUAGGAAGAGAGAUAAUGAUAGGUAUAGGGAGAGAGAUAGAGUUAGGGACCGAGAUUGGGAGAGUGAAAGGGAACGGGAGAGGCGAGGUGAUAGGAAUAGGGAAAAGGCCAGGGACAUUAAGAGCGAUUCAAUAAAGGUCUAUAAUUCUCAUGGUGAUUCGUUAAAAGGUGAUAGAGAUAAACUAGAAAGAGACGAGAAAGAACAGGAUGAUUUUGAGGAAAGGAUUUCGUUAAAACUUGCUGAACAGGAGGAAGAUCUUGAUAGAGUUAAGGAGGAGAGUAGAAAGCGCAGGCAAGCUAUCCUUGAAAAAUAUAGGAACCAGCAGUUACAGCAGCAAAAUGAGAGACAACCAAAAGGUGUGGAAAAAGAUGUUGAACCUUCACAAUGUGCCGUCCAAUCACCACCGGCUUCUAAUAUUGCACAAGAAACUGUUGAAAUCAAGAUUGAUGAUGAUGCCUAUGUUGCUGAACCAUCAUUUUCUGUGGGUAAGUUGCCUCCACAAAAUGGAAAAGAGGCUUCUGACGGGACCUCUGGUGCUGUAGGACUUGGAGAGGGUACUCCAAAGAGUGAGGGGUCAGAUGAAAAAUAUUGUGAUGAUAUAUUUGGGGAGACACCAACAGGAGUUCGUAAAUCAGGCAAAGGAGAUGGUUUACCAAUUGUGCGGAGUGGUCUUAAUGACAACUGGGAUGAUGCUGAAGGUUAUUAUGGCUACCGUUUUGGUGAAAUUCUUGAUGGUCGGUAUGAAAUUGUGGCUGCUCAUGGCAAGGGCGUCUUUUCCACAGUAGUUCGUGCCAAGGACUUGAAAGCUGGCAUUGGUGAACCCGAUGAGGUGGCCAUAAAAAUCAUACGUAAUAAUGAAACAAUGCAUAAAGCUGGUCAGACAGAGGUCCAAAUAUUAAAUAAAUUAGCAGGGUCAGAUCCAGAAAACAAGCGCCACUGUGUUCGUUUUCUUUCAAGUUUCAAGUAUAGAAAUCAUCUUUGUUUAGUUUUUGAAUCUCUUCAUAUGAACCUUCGUGAAGUCUUGAAAAAGUUUGGUCGCAAUAUUGGUCUUAAACUAACUGCCGUGAGAACAUAUGCAAAGCAGCUUUUUAUUGCUUUGAAGCAUCUUAAGAACUGUGGUGUUCUCCAUUGUGAUAUAAAGCCUGAUAACAUGCUGGUAAAUGAAGCAAAAAAUGUUUUGAAGCUUUGUGAUUUCGGCAAUGCCAUGUAUUCUGGUAAAAAUGAGGUUACACCAUACCUUGUAAGCCGCUUCUAUCGAGCUCCAGAAAUAAUUCUUGGCUUGACAUAUGAUCAUCCAAUGGAUAUGUGGUCUGUCGGUUGCUGCUUGUAUGAGCUAUAUACUGGAAAAGUUCUUUUUCCAGGCCCUACUAAUAAUGACAUGCUGCGACUUCACAUGGAACUGAAAGGUCCUUUUCCAAAGAAGAUGCUUAGAAAGGGUGCAUUUAUUGACCAGCAUUUUGACCAUGAUUUGAAUUUUCAUGCUAUAGAGGAGGAUCCUCUUACUAAAAAGACUAUAAAGAGGAUGAUUCUAAAUAUAAAGCCAAAAGAUAUUGGAUCAAUCAUUUCUAGCUCUCCUGGGGAGGAUGCAAAGAUGUUAGCCAAUUUUAGAGAUCUUUUAGACAAAAUAUUUGUGUUAGAUCCUGAAAAGAGGUUGACAGUACAACAAGCACAACUGCAUCCAUUCAUCACGGGCAAGUGAACCAUGUUGCUGAUUUUCUGACACCAGAAACGCGUUGCGCUAGAUAUUAGUAUACUGACUUCAUUUUCAGUUAUCUAAUCAUUGGGCAUUAUCUGUCUUUAUUUUCUAUGUGCUGGCCUAUGAGCUUUGGACAGUUAUAGCCAUCAUUGAAGAUAUUUGGUCAGAAGUUCUCUUUACUGGCGGUUCUUUCAGGGGAAUGUACUGUUUCUACUGAUUUGGCUCCUUGCUUUGAGGCAACCCUCCAGUGCUUAAAUGCUUAUAAGGCACCCAGGAGAAGGUACCUUGAAUUGUUUACUGGGACGUUUUCAAACACCCAGAGUACAUAUUGUGAUCUUUUGAUAACUUUUUUGGACUUACAUAGAAUUUUAUGAUUUUAAUUCAUAUGCACUGUUUUGUAUGUGUUUGAAAAUGUUUUAUUAUAUUGCUCAUUUGUGUUUUAUUUGUUUCCUCCGAAAUAAUUCCUUUAUUUUGUUACUAUGGGACCUGUGAGUUAUUUGCUUUGCUUGUGCAUUGGUUUCAAAUGGAAUCUCCUUGUACAUGCACUGUGAACUAUACAUUUGAAAGUGGUAUUACUAUUACCAUGGUUCACCUUUUCCCUAGUCUUGAUGUGUGAGAAUAGAAUGUGACAAGGUGUCUUUAGCAGUCGGCCAGCUAUAUGCCUGUGUGGCUGAGCUAACUAGACAGUAUCUAUGUCUUUGUUUUGUGCGCUGUGAUUUAUAUUUUGUAUUAUCUUUGCAUGUAUCUAUGUUCUAAUAUUUUCUAUGCAUCUGAUCCAUGGACUACUAUGCUGGAGGCGAAUGCUCCUGAGAUGCUGCUUCGACUUUAAAGUUAACAUACAUACUAGGUAUUGCUUUCAUCCCCUUGCCGACUUGUAAGUAUCUGAAAAUUUAUUGUUGGUCAUGUGAAUUAUUUUCCUUAUGAUGAAAUCGAUGGUUUUGAUGUUAAUUUUCCCACCUCUUAUGUCAUAGCAUCAUAAAUAAAUGCUGCUUGAGAUUCGUAGAUUAUGUUUCAUACAUGUGCAUAAUUUUAAUAUUAGCCAUGUUAAGAUAUUAAAACAAGUAAUGCAGCUAAAUACUCAGUUCUAUGAAGCAUAACCUUGGUGUAUAAGGUGUUAUGCUUUAGUUUAAAGAGAUUUGCUCAAAGAACUGGAAAAAUAAAAGGGAAAUAUAACAAGCAUCAUUUAUUUAAGAUAGCGUUUUAUUUGUGUGCUUGGUGAAUGUUUGUGAUCAAUUUUACAAUUUCUGAAAUGCUUGCAAUCAUUGUUCAACUGCUUAAUACUUUCCAUGUGGCUAGACAACCAAAUUUUGUGGUGUUAUCACAAUCUUGUCAAGAUUUUCUGAUCCCCUGGCAAACAAAGUGUGGCUACUGUUAUGAGUUUGAAAUCCCAAAAUGAACCCUUAGGGCUUUAUUCCUUAGCUAGAAGCUAGAUAAAGAGAGUGCAUGAGCAUGAAGGUACCUUUUGCUUUUGUUCGAUCUGCAUAUAGUUUGCUUGAAGCAAGAUUUCAUAUAUUUUCUUAAUGAUAUAAAUAUCAUACAGGAUUUCUAACCAAACUAUAUAUAACAUAAUCUCUGUAACUUCACAAUUUCUUUAUGCAAUCUCUCAAUGUAAAUGCUGAUGUAGCACGAUGUUCUCCUCAGUCUUAUUUCAAUUUAGUUUUGGUGAGUGAUAGAUUUCUUCAAUGAAUAAGCCAUUUAAAACACCCCCAACUUUGUAUUCUGUUAUAAUUAUACCCCAAAUCAAACUUAACCCCUAGGACAACAAUUUCUAAGUUUUGUUAUAACUGCACUCCAAUUUCAAAUUAGGGCUACAUAAAUUCAUAGAAUAAAAAACAUAAAAUGUGACCCACUAUUAGAAUUAACCGAUAAAAGUUAAGUGAAACGGUGCAUUUCACUGUGCACCAGCUUCCACUUAACCCAUAUCUAACUCCUCUCUCCUAGUUUGAAAAUUGCGUGCUUCUUCUUCUUUGUUCUUCUGUUUUUUUUCUUCUUCCAUUUUUUCAUGCUGAAGCCAGAAAAGAAAAAUGAAGAAAAGUUGAAGAAGAUUGUGGAUUGAUAUCUCCAUCAUCUCCCUCCUAUCUGUAGAUCUUGUACAAUAGAGCUUCAAUUUCCCAUGUCCCUCUCCUCCAUGCCGUCCUCAAUAAAAUCUGUUUGACUUUUAAUUCUCUAAAUUACUAGCUUAAACAGAAUGAGGAGUCAUUAGCGUUGGGCGUCUCUGUUUUGCAUCAAUUAUGGCUAUCUUGUAAUUGUGCCUUUCUCAAAUCCUGACUAAGGUAUUUGUUCUCUUUUUUUGUGCUUUUCUCAUUCUUUUUUGUUUUUAAUAAUUCUUUAUUAAAUAGUGUGGUUAUGUGGCAAAAUAGUGUAAUUAUUGAAUUGCUAGUUCUUACUUGGAUUUCUUUUGUUUUUCGUUAUUCAAUAUCUUCAUCAAUCAUUUUCUUCUCCAAUAUAUAAAAGAAAUUGGAUUCAUUUUUGGAAAGAAUUUCUGUUGUAUUUUUCAAAUGGAAUUUUAUUUUUCUGGAAAUAAGAAUUCAUUUGAAUUAUGCUAACCCAAUAUAGUUGUAUUGUGGUUGUUUUUAGGAUUGAUAAUUGGGGCUUAACAUCAUUAGAGAUACCUGUCUUUUAUAUUUGUAAAUUGGUAAGACUGAUGAGAGAAGAGGCACGAAGGAGAGAGAAAAUGGGGUUGAGGGAUUUUGGUUACUGUUGAUGGAAGGGCAGUGGUAGGAGAUGACUGAUGAGGAUAGGUGGGUUAAGUGAAACGCUCCUUUGGGAUAAUUUUAACUGCAGUUACAGAUUUGGGUCCCACUUUAUUAUUAUUUUUUUAUUCAAUUGAGUUGUCUUAAUUUGAAAUUAGGGUGUUCCAGGGGUUAAUUUUGUUUUGGGGUAUAAUUUAUAAUAAAAUGCAAAGUUUGGGGUAUUUAAAUGGUUUACUCUUUCUUCAAUAUAUUUUAUCUACUGAGUGAACAUAAUCUAAAUGGGAAUUCUUGAGGAUUACUAUUGUUUGUUGUCUCAUCAGUUGCAUCUCUGGAGAGCAAUUGCUGGUUAAAAUCUGUUAGCAAAUGUUGUCAUGCUAAGUAUUGGCUGACAAGGAAUUUACUUUCUAGUCUGGGACAUGACAGUGCAUUGACCCUUGCCUUCCCGAAAACUAUAAGCUGGUCUGUGCACUAUACAGGGUACCUUCUGAAAUUUGAGGUUUCAGUUAUUUUCUGUAAGAAAAAAGGAAAACCCCUUUUAGAUAUUGCAAAAACAGUUUUGAAGACCUUGGAAAAGUUUUAGUUAUGUUCAGUAAUUAGUCAAGAUGGUGUUUUUUCCUAAUGGUAGAUACAACAGCAAUGCUCAAUGAACCCUUAAGUUUGUGUUUAGUGAAAACUUCAUUGUCUUUUGAAGCGAUUUAAAAAUGAAUGUUUUUUAUGUUUGAUAUUUUUACUUUUUUGUGUAAGAAAUAUGUGAAGAAUGGCAAAAACCAGCUUGGGAACUCCGGUCCUGGUAUUGAUAACAGCUGGCCUGACCAUAGUUCCCCCUACUCAGACUGAAACCUUAAAUAUGAUUGGAAUUUUCUUCUCUUCUCUAAGUGGUUUUGAUGUUAGCCUCUACUAAAAAGUUAUGCUUCCUACUUUCCUGUCACCAUAUCAUUAGCUUUAAAUCAUAAAAAGACAAGACAAUGUGGGCAAUUGGGUAGAUUUUCUGACUAUAGAUUGUAAGUAUAGUUUACCAAAUUGAGCUAAUAAUGUCUUAGGACAUGCAUGAUUAUGUACAUUUUUAUUUCUUAGGUGGUCUUGCACAGAUAGAAUGCAGCCGUCGUAUUGAUUCCUUAGCCAAGCAAGGAGUUAUCAGGUCAUGGACUUCUUUGAUUGCUUUCUCUUUGCUUUCUUUUUGAGCAUCAUAGGUUUCAAAAUUUAUGCAAUUAUUUGAGGUGGUUGUUUUAGGUUUUGCAUCUUGAUUAGGGAAUUGUUUUACUAGUGUGGAUAGUCUACAUACUCUUUUGUAUUCUUAUGAUCUGUUAUUUUUAUGUGGAGGCAUUAUUAAGAGUCCUUGUCCAUCUUAGGUUUUGUUUCUUACACAUACUUCUAAAAUUUAAAAAGAAAAUAGAACUGUUUGUGCUUUGUCUUUUUCUGUCUCAUCGACUUGUAGCUCUUGCUAAAAAACUUAAGAUUAUAUUGGAACAAUUCAUAACUUGAUCUGAUAUCUGUAAUUGUUUCCAUUUUCGUGGAGAGAAAUAGAACAAGAUAACUGGGGGAAAACAGUGGAUUCUUUUGUGGCGAGAGAUAAAAAAAAGUGAAAAAAAAAAAAAAUCUAAAACCGUGGUGGAAUUUUGAAUUGGAAACUUGAAUUUAUUUGAAAAUGAUUAAGUUGGAUAUUUUAGUCCAUUUCCUUUUUUGGUUGUGGCCUCUAACUAAUUUUGCGGAAGUAAGGGUUGCCUUUUUUAUUAUAGAUUGUGUCUAAAUAGGAAAGAGCUUUGCGGUGUUAAAUUUCGAACUUUGGGAUGAUGGUUGAAAUCCUGCCUUUCUUGUCUUAAUUAAAAUUAUUCAAUUUGUGCAUAAGACAAACAAACAUUAGGAAAUUUGAACUACAAGUGUGUUGCUUGAUACCUGAUGGCACCUGUAGAAAAAGUAAACUUAAUUUUAUGUUCAUAUUUCCCUUUGAAGUACUGGUGUACUUGAAUAUUGCAUGGCCCUUGAAUCUUUUAGUGCGCUGAAUCACAUGUAUGUCAACCAUAUCUGAAAUGAAGAUUGGCCUUUGAAGUCCAAAGAAGGGGUCUCCAAGGUGAAAUUGCUAUUUGCUUUCAUUCUUUUUAUGGGGUCACAACACAGCAGUGUAGGGCGACCCUAUAGUGAACAUCCUUCAGAGGAAAAAUGAUAUUCAGAAAUGGAGUUACUCAUUCUUUUCUCGUCUUUUUUUUUUUUUUUUUUUUUUCUCGUCUUUUUUUUUUUUUUUGUUUUUUUUUUUUUUUUUUGUUGUUGUCUUAGUGAAACUAGUAUUAUUUUUGUUUUCUCAUUUUUUCAAGUUUUCUAAAUGUUCAUUGCAUUUCAGUAUCAUUAUUUUUUCAUUUUUUUUAUCCUUUUUUAGUACAUUUCCUUUUGGGUUUUAUGGACAGUCCCUGACCACAAUUUUGGAGAAUUCGUUGCUUGUAUCUUCAAAACAACAAACCUUGAUUUGUUGUUUUGAAGUGAAUCUCUGUGAUUGUUACUGCAGGUGCAUUUUCUUUAAGUGAAAUAGAAUCUUUGGUUUCUGCUGGAACAAGAUUUGUGUUCUUCUAUAGCCUAAUAUUUUUCUGCAGCCAUGGCUGCAACAUAUCCUAUAAUAGCUUGAAGCUAUGAUAUCACUGUUGCUUUAUAAGUUUUAUGCAUUACGCUUACCUGGUGAUGAUGUGAUUUCUUGAAUAGCAUUUACAUAAUUUGCUUUGUUUGACUUUUGAAUCCUUCAAAUAUGUGAUUAUAUAUUCGAGGGGCUUCAUAGCUCUGUAUUGCAGUGGGACUUCUGUAGCUUUUCCAAAACAAGAUAUAAUGUAGUCAACAUUUGGUGGGUAUGCAUAUGAGAUUAAAAGAGUUGGGUUUGGGUACGAUAUUUUUGUGGGUGCAACAUUUCUGUUAGCUGUUCAAAGACUUGAGCAAUCCUGGGAGAAGUGAAUUGAGCAAUGUCAGCGUCUUCUACCUUGAUAUCUGUCCUCCCUAUUGGUUAUAAUGAAGUACAACAGAUUUUGCCGUUUUCAGUUUGUGCUUCAGCCAACUUCAUAUUCAAUGUAAUGUUUGUUAGUAAAAAAUGUUAUUGAUCGUUCGGGAUGAAACGGUGGUUUUGGAGUGAUGAUGCCACAUUUUCAUUUUGUAUCAAGUAUUGCCAUUUAGGAUUCCUGCUGGCCUUUUA